This 850-nucleotide ribosomal RNA is filed under the name uncultured bacterium. RNAcentral describes it as "bacterial SSU rRNA". It matches the Rfam family "Bacterial small subunit ribosomal RNA", at positions 49 to 878 of the family's 1533-position model. The record is from RNAcentral.
CUCAACUGCAGUCGAACGCGAAAGGCCCCUUCGGGGGCUGAGUAGAGUGGCGUCCGGGUGAGUAACACGUAGGUAAUCUACCUCUGGGUGGGGAAUAACGACCGGAAACGGUCGCUAAUACCGCAUAAUGCAGCGGCACCACAUGGUGACAGUUGUUAAAGCGGGGGAUCGCAAGACCUCGCGCCUAGAGAGGAGCCUGCGGCGGAUUAGCUAGUUGGUAGGGUAAUGGCCUACCAAGGCGACGAUCCGUAGCCGGCCUGAGAGGGCGGUCGGCCACACUGGCACUGACACACGGGCCAGACUCCUACGGGAGGCAGCAGUCGGGAAUUUUGGGCAAUGGGCGAAAGCCUGACCCAGCAACGCCGCGUGAAGGAUGAAGCUUUUCGGAGUGUAAACUUCAUAAGAAUGGGACGAAUAAAGAGGGGUUAAUACCCCCUCCUAUGACGGUACCAUUUGUAAGCUCCGGCUAACUCCGUGCCAGCAGCCGCGGUAAUACGGGGGGAGCAAGCGUUGUUCGGAUUUACUGGGCGUAAAGGGCGCGUAGGCGGCGCAACAAGUCACUUGUGAAAUCUCCGGGCUUAACCCGGAGCGGCCAAGUGAUACUGUCGUGCUAGAGUGCGGAAGGGGCUACUGGAAUUCUCGGUGUAGCGGUGAAAUGCGUAGAUAUCGAGAGGAACACCUGCGGCGAAGGCGGGUAGCUGGGCCGACACUGACGCUGAGGCGCGAAAGCCAGGGGAGCGAACGGGAUUAGAUACCCCGGUAGUCCUGGCCUUAAACGAUGGAUGCUUGGUGUCCGAGGUUACAUAGUCCUCGGGUGCCGGCGCUAACGCAUUAAGCAUCCCGCCUGGGG